Molecule: long non-coding RNA, 401 nt
Filed under: Homo sapiens (human)
Lineage: Eukaryota; Metazoa; Chordata; Mammalia; Primates; Hominidae
Description: non-protein coding lnc-SPIN2B-1:1
Source: RNAcentral
ACCAGGGCAGCUGCAGGACGGGCCACUGGGUCUGCAAACAUGACAAAGAAAAAAGUCUCCCAAAAGAAGCAGAGAGGCCGACCUUCAUCCCAGCCCCGCAGGAACAUCGUGGGCUGCAGAAUUUCUCAUGGAUGGAAGGAAGGAGAUGAGCCCAUCACGCAGUGGAAAGGAACCGUUCUGGAUCAGCUGCCUGAAACCACAGGUGGUUCCGACAAAUAAUCCACUAAAAGAGGCCUGCUGUCCCAAGAAUCCACAUUCUGGUUAGACCUUCCCCACAAAGCUGGUGUCUGCAGACCCCUCACAGGCACCUGUUGGCCAGUCUUGCCUACCCCAGCUCACAGAGACCUGUGAUGGAAUUCUGGUCAGCUCUUUGUUUCCAGGUGAGGCAGAUGCCAUGGGGC